UACGUAGGGUGCAAGCGUUGUCCGGAAUUAUUGGGCGUAAAGAGCUCGUAGGCGGUUUGUCGCGUCUGCUGUGAAAACUCGGGGCUUAACUCCGGGCCUGCAGUGGGUACGGGCAGACUAGAGUGCGGUAGGGGAGACUGGAAUUCCUGGUGUAGCGGUGAAAUGCGCAGAUAUCAGGAGGAACACCGGUGGCGAAGGCGGGUCUCUGGGCCGUAACUGACGCUGAGGAGUGAAAGCGUGGGGAGCGAACAGG
RNAcentral lists this ribosomal RNA (253 nucleotides) under uncultured bacterium. RNAcentral's name for it is "partial 16S ribosomal RNA". It matches the Rfam family "Bacterial small subunit ribosomal RNA", at positions 524 to 776 of the family's 1533-position model. The record is from RNAcentral.